RNAcentral lists this ribosomal RNA (468 nucleotides) under uncultured bacterium. RNAcentral's name for it is "partial 16S ribosomal RNA". It matches the Rfam family "Bacterial small subunit ribosomal RNA", at positions 28 to 507 of the family's 1533-position model. The record is from RNAcentral.
GACGAACGCUGGCGGCGUGCUUAACACAUGCAAGUCGAACGGAAAGGCCCUGCUUUUGUGGGGUGCUCGAGUGGCGAACGGGUGAGUAACACGUGAGUAACCUGCCCUUGACUUUGGGAUAACUUCAGGAAACUGGGGCUAAUACCGGAUAGGAGCUCCUGCUGCAUGGUGGGGGUUGGAAAGUUUCGGCGGUUGGGGAUGGACUCGCGGCUUAUCAGCUUGUUGGUGGGGUAGUGGCUUACCAAGGCUUUGACGGGUAGACGGCCUGAGAGGGUGACCGGCCACAUUGGGACUGAGAUACGGCCCAGACUCCUACGGGAGGCAGCAGUGGGGAAUAUUGCACAAUGGGCGGAAGCCUGAUGCAGCAACGCCGCGUGCGGGAUGACGGCCUUCGGGUUGUAAACCGCUUUCGCCUGUGACGAAGCGUGAGUGACGGUAAUGAGUAAAGAAGCACCGGCUAACUACGUG